RNAcentral lists this non-coding RNA (168 nucleotides) under bovine gut metagenome. RNAcentral describes it as "malK-I RNA". It matches the Rfam family "malK-I RNA". The record is from RNAcentral.
GCGCGCGUCCACUCCACUCUUUGGGCCGCGUACAUUCAAAAAGGAGGUUCAACAGUUCCGCGAGGCUCGCGGUGCGGCAGUGUGGAGACCUGUCGUAAAGCGGCGCGCUCCUUUGCGGGCGGCCGUGAGGCGGAUCGGGUGGGCCGGUCCGUCAGAGCUGCAGCUAUG